Molecule: long non-coding RNA, 589 nt
Organism: Clarias gariepinus (North African catfish)
Lineage: Eukaryota; Metazoa; Chordata; Actinopteri; Siluriformes; Clariidae
Exons: 3
Source: RefSeq, a predicted model, not a curated record
GAUGAAGCCAAAUCCUUAACAGCCCAAAGGCGCGGUGGAAAAAAAGUUCCCUCCAGCGAAAAAGUUCCGACAGAAGGAGAAGCUUCGGGAGACACCAAAAACCGGGGUUAAAAUUGCUUUUAUCUGUGUCCAUUUCUCCUCCUCCUCCUCCUCCUCCUCCCUUCUUUCUCUUUCACUAAACAGGAGGUCCUUUCACUGAACGAUGUAGCACAGCGAAUGUGCCAAGGACACCGGACACGAAGAAGCUUUUGAACGUGACUUCCAGCCUCUUGUUUAGCUUAGUGCAGGAAUCACUCGGCAACUUCAGUCACAUGAGAACGUGUGUUCAAAUUACCAUCUCCUCUCCACCUCAGUCUCUGGAGUGUUUGAUCCACUAGAGGGCAGCACUGCUAUUAAGCAGGGAUUUAGCAGUCAUUAGGUAAUAGACUGAACUCUGGUGACCUGUGCAGACAUUCUCUCUCUCCCCAAACUGUGAUCCCUCUCCUCUGUCCGGUCGCCUUCAGGCCCUGCUGGAGCCGCGGGCAUCCUUCACCCUGAACGGGCAGCAGGAGGAGAGAUGUUGCCCCCUCACCCAGGACCUCCACCUCUC